Molecule: ribosomal RNA, 155 nt
Filed under: uncultured bacterium
Lineage: Bacteria
Description: partial 16S ribosomal RNA
Rfam family: Bacterial small subunit ribosomal RNA
Source: RNAcentral
CAGGUCAGCAUACUGCCGUGAAUAUGUUCCCGGGCCUUGUACACACCGCCCGUCACACCACGAGAGUUGGGAAUACCCGAAGCCUGUGAGCUAACUUUUAGAGGCAGCAGUCGAAGGUAGAAUCAAUGAUUGGGGUGAAGUCGUAACAAGGUACC